RNAcentral lists this ribosomal RNA (451 nucleotides) under uncultured organism. Its description in RNAcentral is "partial 16S ribosomal RNA". It matches the Rfam family "Bacterial small subunit ribosomal RNA", at positions 333 to 800 of the family's 1533-position model. The record is from RNAcentral.
ACACUCCUGCGGGAGGCAGCAGUGGGGAAUAUUGGACAAUGGGCGCAAGCCUGAUCCAGCCAUGCCGCGUGAGUGAUGAAGGCCCUAGGGUUGUAAAGCUCUUUCACCGGUGAAGAUAAUGACGGUAACCGGAGAAGAAGCCCCGGCUAACUUCGUGCCAGCAGCCGCGGUAAUACGAAGGGGGCUAGCGUUGUUCGGAUUUACUGGGCGUAAAGCGCACGUAGGCGGACUAUUAAGUCAGGGGUGAAAUCCCGGGGCUCAACCCCGGAACUGCCUUUGAUACUGGUAGUCUUGAGGUCGAGAGAGGUGAGUGGAAUUCCGAGUGUAGAGGUGAAAUUCGUAGAUAUUCGGAGGAACACCAGUGGCGAAGGCGGCUCACUGGCUCGAUACUGACGCUGAGGUGCGAAAGCGUGGGGAGCAAACAGGAUUAGAAACCCCAGUAGUCCCAUGA